This 205-nucleotide ribosomal RNA is filed under the name Tylototriton verrucosus (crocodile newt). RNAcentral describes it as "partial 16S ribosomal RNA". It matches the Rfam family "Bacterial large subunit ribosomal RNA", at positions 2561 to 2831 of the family's 2925-position model. The record is from RNAcentral. Lineage: Eukaryota; Metazoa; Chordata; Amphibia; Caudata; Salamandridae.
CGCUAUUAAGGUUCGUUUGUUCAACGAUUAAAGUCCUACGUGAUCUGAGUUCAGACCGGAGUAAUCCAGGUCAGUUUCUAUCUAUAAAAAAUUUUUUCUAGUACGAAAGGACCGAAAAAAUAGAGCCCAUUACUAAACAAUGCUCUUACACAGUUGAAAACAAAUAAAACACGCACACAAAACACACCCCCAAGAACAGGGUAAA